UGACAGGGAUUUGGCUCAAGGUUGACUCAGCCUUCCAUCCUUCUGAGGUUGGUAAAAUGAGAACUCAGAUUGUUGGGGGAAAUAUGCUGACAUUUGUAAACUGCUUAGACGGUGCUAUAAAACACUAUGGAGUGGCGUAAAAGUCUAAGUGCUUUUGUU
Pseudonaja textilis is the source of this 159-nucleotide non-coding RNA. The record is from RefSeq and is a predicted model, not a curated record. Lineage: Eukaryota; Metazoa; Chordata; Lepidosauria; Squamata; Elapidae.